This 336-nucleotide unclassified non-coding RNA is filed under the name soil metagenome. RNAcentral's name for it is "partial contains 5.8S ribosomal RNA, internal transcribed spacer 2, and large subunit ribosomal RNA". The stretch from base 1 to 120 matches the Rfam family "5.8S ribosomal RNA", at positions 35 to 154 of the family's 154-position model. The record is from RNAcentral.
GAUGAAGAACGUAGCGAAAUGCGAUAAGUAAUGUGAAUUGCAGAAUUCAGUGAAUCAUCGAAUCUUUGAACGCACAUUGCGCCCCUUGGUAGUCCAUGGGGCAUGCCUGUUCGAGCGUCAUUUGUACCUUCAAGCUUUGCUUGGUGUUGGGUGUUUGUCUCGCCUUUGCGUGUAGACUCGCCUUAAAAUAAUUGGCAGCCGGCGUAUUGAUUUCGGAGCGCAGUACAUCUCGCGCUUUGCACUCAUAACGACAGCGUCCAAAAGUACAUUUUACACUCUUGACCUCGGAUCAGGUAGGGAUACCCGCUGAACUUAAGCAUAUCAAUAAGCGGAGGA